This is a long non-coding RNA of Cimex lectularius (bed bug), 1384 nucleotides long. RefSeq lists it as uncharacterized. The transcript has 3 exons. The record is from RefSeq and is a predicted model, not a curated record. Lineage: Eukaryota; Metazoa; Arthropoda; Insecta; Hemiptera; Cimicidae.
CUAUGAAAUUCGAGCGUGUAAUGUAGCGUAAAUGUCGUAAUGGAAGAAAUUCUCACUGACUUUUCACCGAUAUCCCAAAACAGCUCAUACAAACAAAAAUAGAUAUGGAUUAAAAUUGUAGUGAAUCUAACCUUUCAAGUUUGGUCAAUUUUAAGUAUACACAUAUGCAAAAUUCAAAAUUUACUCCGGAUUUCGGGGCCCAAAGGCCUCUUGAGCCAAUUGGCAAAACUAGAUUUAAUGAACAACGCUCAAAAUAAAUUUGAUUGAAUUAAAAAAAUAACGUACAAAAUCAAAAGAGACCAUAUAUCAAAAACUAGGAAGUCUUCCUAUGAAAUAACAGUUCUCUAUUUCUAGAAAUGAGUCACAAUCAUUUAUCGGAUUUUACUAGAUUGUGAUUUCUGUAAUCGUCACCUUUGCUUAAAUUUUCCUAUGAUUCCAAAUGCAAUUUCGAAAAAACCAACACUAAGUAUACGAAGCAUAAACUUAUAAAAUAUAAAACUCAUCCAAGACGAAUGUUCUGAAGUAAACUGAUAGUCUUAAACUGAUGCAAUUAAAAUACAGAGGGAAAUUAUCACAAUAAAAAUUAUAAAACAAUUGCUAUAGUAAAUAAACAAAGAAAUUACCAAACAAACGAGUACCAAAUUUGAGUCGAACUGCAAUAGUUUAAAAACUUAGCAUAAUUACAUGACUAAAAUAGACCUACAGUCAUAAACACUUGAAUAAUUGUGUAAUUAAUUGUUCAUAAUGCACUCAAAAUCUUUAUCUACUGUCAAUACGCUUGAACACAACAUCAUGUAAUAGCAAAAAUAUGAAACAUUGGGCUAUUUCAACAGCUGACUACUUACAAAAACCAAUUCGUCUACAAAUCUACAUAGCCGAAUAAACAGAAAUUUACUGAACAAUUGUUUCUAAUGCUGGCAAACAUUUACUUCUCUAAUCUCAACUUUUCCCACUUAAAAACAAAAGGACAAUCAUACUACAUAUUUAUUUUAAAACAUUCUUUGAUAAUGAAAACAAUUCAAUGAAGCAACAAGGCAGUAGGCAAAGAUUAAAUUAAACAACAAAUAAUCUUAUUAAAACUGAUGAAAUUUAUCUCAAAUUCUACAAUAUUUGAAAGCAAGAAAAACAAUUGAAUCUAAUGAAGACACGAUUGAAACUCUAAAGAGCCAAAAAGAAAUGAAAAUUUCCUUGAGCCCGUUUAAAACUUACGUUUUAUCGCGUCCGUGCAUUUCCAGCAGUUUUAGCAUGGAGCAACUAUUUCAGCGAUGGGAAAACUACUGAUAAAGAUCUCAAACGGCCAGUUAAUAAAACCGAACCGCAGAUGCAAUUUAAAAAAGAUCGUAUCCACUUGUUAAGAUUAUAGAGAUUCUUUAAAAACAAGGCA